CUCACCCAAAAAGCAACAACUUCAUUUGCAAGUGCCUUCCAGGAAAAGAAAAUAAAGCCUGCUCUGCUGGAGGUCUAUUAGAAGUGAGUGAGGCAUUCUAGAUCAAAGGGACCCUGAGAAAGGUGAUCAGUGUUAUCUUAACCAAGAUUUUGUUUUAGGAAGAAAUAACUUGCUCCAAGGGGGAAAAAGAAUACUCCCUUAAAAAAAGAGGCAUUCAUUCUCUUUGGACAGUUGUUUAAAAUGAGAAUUGAGUCAGCUUUGCCAGAUAUCCUACUCUGCCUGUUCUGCCUGUUAAAAAAAAAAAAAAACUUCACUGAUGAGUACCAAUUUAUACUAGACUUGAGAGCUAUAAAAUAUCAAAGUGUGAUGUGCAUUACUUUUAGGAUUUUUCUUUGCCAGAGAAACAGAUGCCUUAAAAUUUUGAACAGGCUUGAUUUUCAUAACCUAAAUUUAUGAGACUAGAGAUAUGUAUGCAUCUGAAACUAAAUAUAUGUUUGUCUCAACCAAUAAGUGCUGUCUUUUAUACAUUGCAUCUGACAUAAAAGGGCCACAUUGCCAUUUGAAAAGCUGGCUUAUAUCUAUUGCUUUAACUAAGUCUAGUUCUGAUCAUUAACACUGUUCCUAAAUGAAUAAGAGAUUUAAGGCCAUUCUCUUAUGGUGGGCGGGGGCGGG
This 672-nucleotide long non-coding RNA is filed under the name Marmota monax (woodchuck). The record is from RNAcentral. Lineage: Eukaryota; Metazoa; Chordata; Mammalia; Rodentia; Sciuridae.